RNAcentral lists this ribosomal RNA (330 nucleotides) under uncultured bacterium. RNAcentral describes it as "bacterial SSU rRNA". It matches the Rfam family "Bacterial small subunit ribosomal RNA", at positions 568 to 898 of the family's 1533-position model. The record is from RNAcentral.
UUCGUAGGCGGUGCGGCAAGUUGGGAGUGAAAUCUCUGGGCUCAACCCAGAGGCUGCUUCCAAAACUGCUGUGCUUGAGUGUGGGAGAGGUGCGUGGAAUUGCAGGUGUAGCGGUGAAAUGCGUAGAUAUCUGCAGGAACACCCGUGGCGAAAGCGGCGCACUGGACCACAACUGACGCUGAGGAACGAAAGCUAGGGGAGCAAACAGGAUUAGAUACCCUGGUAGUCCUAGCCCUAAACGAUCAGGACUUGGGGUGCCACCCGUUCGGGUGUCGUCCCGGAGCUAACGCGUUAAGUCCUGCACCUGGGGAGUACGGUCGCAAGACUGAA